AGGUGUGGUGGCGGGCGCCUAUAGUCCCCAGCUACUUGGGAGGCUGAGGCAGGAGAAUCUCUUGAAGCCAGGAGGCGGAGGUUGCUGUGAGCCAAGAUCGCGCCACUGCACUCCAGCCUGGGUGUUGCAGUGAGACUCCGUCUCAAAACAAACAAAAUAAACUAAAACAAACAAAACAAAAAACAAAACGCCAUCAACAUCUCGAAAAACAAAACCCAAAAAGUAGGGAAAUUUUGAUUUUUAAAGAGACUAGAAGGACGUGGUGGCCUGGCAUGGUGGCUCACACCUGUGAUCCCAGCACUUUGGGAGGCCAAGGCGGGAGAAUCACUUGAGCCCACGAGUUUGAGACCAGCCUGGGCAACAAAGUGAGACUCCAUCUCUACAAAAAAUUUUAAAAUUAGCUGGGCAUGGUGGCAUGUACCUGUGGUCCCAGCUACUUGGGAGGCUGAGGCAGGAGGAUUGAUUGAGCCCAGUUGGUUGAGGCUGCAGUGAGCCGUGAUCACACCAUUCUUUGCACUUCAGCCUGGGCAGCAGAGUGACACCCUGUCUAAAAAAGAAAAGAAAAAACAAAACAAAACAAAACCAGACAGACAUGGUAACUGAAAGCAGUGACUGAUCCUUAAUGGGACCCUGGAUGGAUAAAAGGGAGAAGGUAUAAGGGACAAGGUUGUGAGGGCACCUGGCGUAUGGGCUGUGCUUUAGGCCAUAUUCAUAUAAAAGGAGGUGCUCCCUGGAACAUUCCUUUCUUAAGUUUGAGGGUGGUGAUGGUAUUGUGGUUGUGCAGGAACGUCCUCGUGCCUGGGAAUUGCAUGAUGUGUUUUGGGGUGAAGUAUCAGUGUAUGCCACUGACUCUCAGAUGGCUCGCGGGGAAAACGAUGUGUAUGUAUCCGAGAGGGAUAAUGCUCAUAUGGGUGAAAUAUCAGUAAUCGGUGACUCUGGCCGCGAGAUAUGUGUUCAUUAUUAUACUGUCCCUUCAAUGGAGGUGGCGUCUUCUCCACUGCUGUGCCAGGAGGGCUGGGCGUGGGGGUCCAGAUUCUGUACAUCAGACACCCCUACCCCAUCUUGUGCUUAAUAGAGUGCAGGAUCCCUCCUGAGACCCUAAUCUAACCCUCAAGUCCCUUCCCCUGCCACAGCAGAAGCAGGAAGGCUAAGGGUCCAUCCCCAAUCCCCAUGGCCCAUCCGGGAGAGCCGGCUGCUAGCUGCACCCCUGAACGUCUGCUUCAAUGCCUGAUGCAACUGGAAACCUCUUCACUUACCCUUCAAGUCACCCCCAGCUGGGUCUCAGGGUAGGGGUAGGUCUGGGAAGGUGCCAGCCCUGGAGUUAAUCCAAGCCACCUGUGGUCACCAGAUGCUCUGUCACCACUAACAGGUGUGUUGGGAUCCGGGGUCAAGGGCUGCUCCAAGCACAGGGGUCUGGCCACAGUUCGGAUGGGCUCCCAGGGGGCUCGCUGGGGUGGGCGAGGUAGCCUGAACAAAGCUGCUGGGAAGGCAGGGUCCGUGCAUCCCCUGGGCCUGAGAUCACGAGCUUCUUGGCUGGCUUGGGCCAAGGGAGGAGACCAGGAGUCUGUGGCUCCAGAGCCUGGCCAGAGAACUUUCUAAAAGGCAUGUUCCGGCCGGGUGCGGUGGCUCACGCCUGUAAUCCCAGCACUUUGGGAGGCCAAUGGGGGCUGAUCCUGAGGUCAGGAGUUCAAGACCAGCCUGGCCAACGUGGUGAAACCCCCAUCUCUACUAAAAAUACAAAAAUUAGCCGGGCAUAAUGGCAGCCUCGGGAGGCUGAGGCAGGAGAAUUGCUAGAACCCAGGAGGCGUAGGUUGCAGUGAGCCAAGAUCGCGCCACUGCACUCCAGUCUGGGUGACAGAGCAAGACUGUCUCAAAAAAAAAAAAAAAAAAAAAAAAGGAAAAGGUAUGUUCCUACCACUGGGGCUUGGCACCUCCUGCUUCUGCCAGGACUGCGUGCCGCUCCCUCCCUGAAAGCUGGCUACCCACUCAUCCUUCUGGUCUCUACCAGAACACUCCUGCCCAGGCUGGGUUUGGUGGUCGCGCUGCGGGGUCCUGCAGCCUCAUUCUGCUGCGUCUUGUUUUUUACCACCUGUCAUUGACUUGACCUUAUCUGUCACGUUCAAUAUCUGUCUCCCUCACCAGAGCGAGCUCUGCCCCAGCACUGGGCCUGUAGAGGAGGUGCUCUGGAGAUGCACUCAGGGCUCGCACCUGACAGAGUGGAAGCAGCUGCCAGGCAGGGGGAUACCGAGUACCCCACCCUGGAGAAUGUGCAGACUGUGGAUCUGUGGGGGGUGUAAACUGUCCUCUAGGGUCGUCUUUAUCAGCCUAUCCUGGCUCCUGUGAUAGCAUCUAUCUUUCAAGGGUUUAUUUCAAACAGGAAGCUGGUAAGUGCUGCACACUGAUUUUCGGGAGAGGGGACGGUCAGCUCCAUCUUCCCGCCCCAGAUCACAGAGCUGGCAUGUGACAGCUGGCAUCCCGGCUGGCACUCCCAUCAGGCUGUCUCCACAGAGCUGCCUUUUGGGAGGGGUCUGGUUCAGUUUCCUGGGCCCACUCUGCUCAUCCCCCUGCAAUAAUGCCACAAGCCCUUGGUACACGUUACCUCAUUUAUUCUCACAACAUGCCUGUGAGGUAGGGAGGGGCAGGGACUGUCCCCGUUUUACAGAGGAGGAAGUUGAGGCACACAGAGGCUGGGCAGAUGGGCCCUUAGGAGUGCGGGG
Molecule: long non-coding RNA, 2717 nt
Filed under: Homo sapiens (human)
Lineage: Eukaryota; Metazoa; Chordata; Mammalia; Primates; Hominidae
Description: HSALNT0266756
Source: RNAcentral